This 811-nucleotide ribosomal RNA is filed under the name bacterium LGM56. RNAcentral describes it as "bacterial SSU rRNA". It matches the Rfam family "Bacterial small subunit ribosomal RNA", at positions 56 to 877 of the family's 1533-position model. The record is from RNAcentral.
UGCAGUCGAACGAUGAAGGAGGAGCUUGCUCCUCCGGAUUAGUGGCGAACGGGUGAGUAAUACGUGAGCAAUGUGCCCUUGACUCUGGGAUAAGCGCUGGAAACGGCGUCUAAUACCGGAUACGACCCUCGGAGGCAUCUCCUGAUGGUGGAAAGAACUUCGGUCAAGGAUCAGCUCACGGCCUAUCAGCUAGUUGGUGAGGUAACGGCUCACCAAGGCGACGACGGGUAGCCGGCCUGAGAGGGUGACCGGCCACACUGGGACUGAGACACGGCCCAGACUCCUACGGGAGGCAGCAGUGGGGAAUAUUGCACAAUGGGCGCAAGCCUGAUGCAGCAACGCCGCGUGAGGGACGACGGCCUUCGGGUUGUAAACCUCUUUUAGCAGGGAAGAAGCGAAAGUGACGGUACCUGCAGAAAAAGCACCGGCUAACUACGUGCCAGCAGCCGCGGUAAUACGUAGGGUGCAAGCGUUGUCCGGAAUUAUUGGGCGUAAAGAGCUCGUAGGCGGUCUGUCACGUCUGCUGUGAAAACCCGAGGCUCAACCUCGGGCUUGCAGUGGGUACGGGCAGACUAGAGUGCGGUAGGGGAGAUUGGAAUUCCUGGUGUAGCGGUGGAAUGCGCAGAUAUCAGGAGGAACACCGAUGGCGAAGGCAGAUCUCUGGGCCGUAACUGACGCUGAGGAGCGAAAGCAUGGGGAGCAAACAGGCUUAGAUACCCUGGUAGUCCAUGCCGUAAACGUUGGGAACUAGAUGUGGGGACCAUUCCACGGUCUCCGUGUCGUAGCUAACGCAUUAAGUUCCCCGCCUGGG